AUGAUGAUGAUAGGAACAAUCAGACUUCAUUUGUGUUUUCUUCGUCUUCUGUUCAUGCUUUCCUUGGUGUUCAUAUGUAUUAUUAUGCUUCUCGAUUGGAGGCUCUUUUUUUUCUCCUCUUGCUGUGAAAAAAGAAAGAGUGAGGCUAUGCCAUUCCAUAGCAUACAUAGUUGUUGUGUGCCUCCGUGUAUGUCAAUAGAAUUGAACAAAAAUGUAACUGUUUGUACCUGCCUGCUCAAUUUGCAUAUAUCUGCUCCAAACCUGGCACCUGGUUCUUAUUGCCUGAGUAAAUCCGUCAUUCAUUUGUUGAUCAAUAAAUAA
This 321-nucleotide ribosomal RNA is filed under the name Triticum aestivum (bread wheat). RNAcentral describes it as "partial small subunit ribosomal RNA". Lineage: Eukaryota; Viridiplantae; Streptophyta; Magnoliopsida; Poales; Poaceae. The record is from RNAcentral.